GAUGAAGAACGUAGCGAAAUGCGAUACGUAAUGUGAAUUGCAGAAUUCAGUGAAUCAUCGAAUCUUUGAACGCAUAUUGCGCUCUCUGGUAUUCCGGAGAGCAUGCUUGUUUGAGUAUCAGUAAACACCUCAACUUCCAUAUCUUUUUUGAAAUGGGAGUUGGACUUGAGUGAUCCCAACGCUUUUCCUCACCGAAAAGUGGCGGGUUACUUGAAAUGCAGGUGCAGCUGGACUUUUCUCUGAGCUAUAAGCAUAUCUAUUUAGUCUGCCUCAAAACAGAUUAUUACCUUUGCUGCAGCUAACAUAAAGGAGAUUAGUUCUUGUGCUGACUGAUGCAGGAUUCACAAAGACCGCUUCGGCUGUCUUUGUAAACUCGAUCUCAAAUCAAGUAAGACUACCCGCUGAACUUAAGCAUAUCAAUAAGCGGAGGA
Molecule: unclassified non-coding RNA, 431 nt
Filed under: soil metagenome
Description: partial contains 5.8S ribosomal RNA, internal transcribed spacer 2, and large subunit ribosomal RNA
Rfam family: 5.8S ribosomal RNA (bases 1-120)
Source: RNAcentral